This 433-nucleotide ribosomal RNA is filed under the name uncultured bacterium. RNAcentral's name for it is "partial 16S ribosomal RNA". It matches the Rfam family "Bacterial small subunit ribosomal RNA", at positions 29 to 507 of the family's 1533-position model. The record is from RNAcentral.
AACGAACGCUGGCGGCAUGCCUAACACAUGCAAGUCGAACGAGACCUUCGGGUCUAGUGGCGCACGGGUGCGUAACGCGUGGGAACCUGCCUUUAGGUUCGGAAUAACUCAGAGAAAUUUGAGCUAAUACCGGAUGAUGUCUUCGGACCAAAGAUUUAUCGCCUUUAGAUGGGCCCGCGUUGGAUUAGCUAGUUGGUGGGGUAAAGGCAUACCAAGGCGACGAUGCAUAGCUGGUCUGAGAGUAUGAUCAGCCACACUGGGACUGAGACACGGCCCAGACUCCUACGGGAGGCAGCAGUGGGGAAUAUUGGACAAUGGGCGAAAGCCUGAUCCAGCAAUGCCGCGUGAGUGAUGAAGGCCUUAGGGUUGUAAAGCUCUUUUACCCGAGAUGAUAAUGACAGUAUCGGGAGAAUAAGCUCCGGCUAACUCCGUG